AUGAGAUUUCUGACAUUUUCCAAUCAGGAAAACCAUGUGAGCCCCGCGCUUUGGAUUCACACCGGAGCAGAUGCCCGCGGAGCCCCGCUGCCUUUCUCACCCGCUCCAAGUUUUCCCCAGCGCACAAAAACUCUCAGCAAGUCACCCGGAACCCGCUCACCGUUCCAUCCGAGUCCCACCAGCACCCACGAGCAUAGCGAUUAUUAUUAUAAUUAUAAUAAUAAUAAUUUCAUUAUCUCUCUGGUGGUAUCAAUUAGAAGCACUUUACUGCAGGUAAUGACUAAGAUUCCAGUACAAAAUGACAUUAUUAUUAUUAUCCCCAUCUAUAAUUUCAGAGUGGAUACACAAGAUAUGGGAAAAAAGGGAAGUUUAAGUUCAACCAAAGGUAGCCUUAAAAGUGAGAAGAGUUUUAUUGUUGGAGGUAAGGAAGGAAACUGAGGCUGAAUGGCUCAUUCAAGUGUGGGCAUGUGUGUUCCUAACCUCAUAUACAUGUGCACAUGCGGAUGUGCCGGAGAUUUCAAAGGGCCUCUCCGAAAAAACUAAAGGAAAUAUACACAAAACUAGCAUCCUCUUAUUCAUGGCUUGACUGGAACAGUUUCCUCAAAGUAGCUUGUGUGAGAGCACAGCUGUGUGGUUAAGAGAAGGGUACAGAGCAGAGAGAGAGAGAGAGAGAGAGAGAGAGAGAGAGAGAGAGAGAGAGAGAGAGAGAGAGGUGUCCUCAGAAACCCAGUAGCAAAUAUUUGCAUUCCUCAAAGCGCGGGAGUGUUGUUCUUCGCUCUCUGCUGUUUAUCUGAGGAGAAGGAGUAAAGGCAGAAGUUUGAAAGUCUGCACAAGUUGUUAAUGAUUAGUUCCAGUUUAACCCCCCCCCCCCCCAAUUAACAAUGACAAAUGUUUUGUUUCAUUCACGUGCUCAUGGUUGCACACAUGCUCCAUGCAUGCAGGUGUGGACUUUCAGGCCAUAAGCUGUUUUAUUUGGAAUAAACACACAUAGCAGCAUUCUCUUAGCCUGUUCUUAGACCAAAUUAAUUGGACCUUGGUGACAUCCAUCACAGGGUUGUCAUGGCGCUGACCUUUCCACUGAAGCGAUUCAUAACCAGGAAGUUACAUGAGCCAGGUGGCUGCCUAAUCCGUCACAUGCUCCACCACGAUGCUCCAUCACAAACACCACCUUUCAGAUGAGCCUGGGACAAGCUGGCUGACAACUAAGUGUGUUUACCAUCUCUGCUGUUGGAAUAUCAUUCGACAUCACCUAAAAACGGUCAUGCAACCCUCCAUCUUGACUCGUACACUUCAGUAAACAUGGUCAGCAGCAAAGUUUAGCACUCCUCAAGGGGUCGUGUCCAGCGGCGUUAUUUUGGAUUCAAACUUUGAAACAUCGUCACCUGCCAUGAAGCUAACACACUGGUAUUGGUGACUAUAGUUUCGUCUUUGCUUGAGUUGUGCUACUCACAAUAAUCACGUACGCGGCGGGCUCCAUGAGCAGAACCAGUACUUUUUAAAACAUUGCAUUUCCUUACAACUCUGCCUUGGAAAUCCAAACAUACUUCUUUUAGUAGGGCGUUUACUACUAUGUAUUCAUGUGAUUCAUAGGAAAUAUGCCUCAGGCUAGUAGCUUUAAAGCUACUUUCAUUUCCCAAAUUCAACAGCUGUUCAGUCAGGACUAUUUAAAAACCAUUUACUUCUCCAUCAACAUUAUCGUUUGGGCUUGAACAAAAAAGUGCACCAUUUUACUGAUGAUGCUGAUAGUUAUCCUUGUAAUACCAAGUGGAUGUAACCUGUUUUGUACUUUAAAUUCUAGUUUCUGCCUGCUUUUCUCUUCUCUUCACCUUGGCUCUUUACACCACGUGACAUGUUGAAUUUAGUUGUUUUUAUUUCUGUUUAAUAAAUACAUUUAUUAACUGGUAGCUAAGUCAAGGCAUAGGUGGAGACUUUUUUGUUAGAAAAACACCUGGGAGAAAGGACUGAGAGAGCGGCAGCACCCCCCUCAACCUGCCGCAUGCGCUCUCGGAGUUUCUCAGUCAGAGUAAAGAGUCGUUGACAAGUGCGUGCACACGAGCACACACAGACAGCAGACUCACCGCUCAGGAGAAGAGCAGAAACAGAAACUGACUGCAGGGAGGAGGAUUUCCUGUUCACCUCCUUCAUUAGAAAAAAGGGGAGGAGGACAUUUUUCUUAAAGAGAGGAGCGGCUCCGAGCGCCAACAUGUCAUACCAUAAGGUGAGUGGUUGAGCCAGGUUGAGAUGCGGCGAGACCAAGUCCCCAUAAUUCGGUUCUGGAUAUGACGCAAACAAGGAAGUGGCAAACAUUGCAGUUCCACCAUCAUCCACUAGGGGCUGGCAUCAGAAGUGAGCAAAUCUUCAUUGACUCCCAUGUUAAAAACGUAACAGCAGAAAUAAACAUGUUUACAGCCUGGCCACAAAAACACAUUUUAGGUCUAAUAGAUCUAGUUUACACUCAUGCAUUUUUUGUUACUCUUCUAUUUAAGUGUAUUAAAUACUUAAAAAUCUGAAGGAUUUUUUCUGAAUGAGCAUCGUGACUUCAGAGCUAGCUCUGGAGAAAGGCGUUAGCCUCACGUUAAUAGAUGUUCGGCCUUUAUGACUCUCUGUGUGGUUGUGUUCGUGUUUGGAUGUAAAUCAUGGAAUUAUUUGGACAAAGAGAGAAAGCUGUGGUUAUUGACUGCACAAACAGAUUAACCAAGCAGUUUGUGCUGUUUUUUUAUCAGUAAGUAAAUGUAUAUUUCUGUACUUUACUUAGUUUUUUUUUAAUAGGGGAAUGCUGUGUCAUUUAACUGCUUGGUCAAACAUGUUGGUGGUGCUGCUGGCUGGAUAAGGAACUUGAGCUUGAAGCAAAACUGGAAAAAUUACAAUAUGGUGCAAAAGUCCAUUUAUUUCAGUAAUUCAACUAGACCGAGAGACCGUUUAAAGGCUCAUGAACCCUUUGGUUUUGCUUCAUAUAACACAGUGACAUUUAAAUAAUUAAAAAGCAUAUUUAUCUAUUUAUUUAUUUUAGAAAUUGAGAGCUUGCGUUUACAAAAAUAAUAUCCAUGUCUAAAGUUUGAUGUUCUGCCUCUUUAUUUUUAAUUAACCUUUCCACUGUCCUAUCAGGUGACCCUGCCAGGACAGGAGGUGGUUAAACUUGGUUUAAAUUUUAUCCCUUGGCAGGGAUGAAAUGAAAAUACACCAUACAUUAAACGCACGCUCCGUAAAAUGACGCCGUCAGGGUGAGGAGGAGGAGAUUUUAAAAUUCGAACGGCUGUUGCUCACUUCCCCGCCCUUCCUGAAAGAGCCGAAAGCCACACCUCCCAAUGUGCACGCGCAGGAAAAGCAGAGUCAACACCAGAGCAGCAUUGCUUCUUCGUAAUAGAGCUGAGCUAGUGUUAGCAAUGGAGUUAUCUGAGGUAAGAAAGUUGUAUUUAACCAGCACAUUAAACACUUACUGUUUACAAAAGGCAUUUUAUAAAGAAUAUCUAUAAAUAUAUUUUAAAAUACCAGUAACAGUUGACAAUCUAUAUUGUAAAUAAAAUUAAUCCUAUCAAAUUGUUAGCAUUU
This is a long non-coding RNA of Nothobranchius furzeri (turquoise killifish), 3549 nucleotides long. The record is from Ensembl. Lineage: Eukaryota; Metazoa; Chordata; Actinopteri; Cyprinodontiformes; Nothobranchiidae.